This 253-nucleotide ribosomal RNA is filed under the name uncultured bacterium. RNAcentral's name for it is "partial 16S ribosomal RNA". It matches the Rfam family "Bacterial small subunit ribosomal RNA", at positions 524 to 776 of the family's 1533-position model. The record is from RNAcentral.
UACGUAGGCAGCAAGCGUUGUUCGGAGUUACUGGGCGUAAAGGGCGUGUAGGCGGUUCUUUAAGUUUGGUGUGAAAUCUCCCGGCUCAACUGGGAGGGUGCGCCGAAUACUGAGGGACUAGAGUACGGGAGAGGAAAGUGGAAUUCCUGGUGUAGCGGUGAAAUGCGUAGAUAUCAGGAGGAACACCGGUGGUGUAGACGGCUUUCUGGACCGACACUGACGCUGAGACACGAAAGCGUGGGUAGCAAACAGG